CCGGUCGAUCUGUGCCCGCACCGCCUGCGCCACCGGGCAUUCCCAAACGUGGUGCAUGCGUGGCGAGCAUGGCUGACCAGCUGCUCUACCGAAUCCGCCACAUCCACAGCGUUUUGGAGUCAUGCGGGCUAGGUGCGUGUUGCCCGGUAGGGGGACUGCGAGCCGCUAUAACGUCUCCUUAUUCUCAUUCUCCCAUCGUACCCCGGACCAUACGCGGGCCUGCGUCGCCCUGAAUAGGCUGAUUCCCGAGGGGGGCGGCGGCGACGGGCCCUGAGGAUCCGUGGCCUCCCGCACAAAUUCAGCUACCAGGCGUCUUCUCCUCUCCUCCAUAGG
RNAcentral lists this long non-coding RNA (333 nucleotides) under Volvox carteri. Its description in RNAcentral is "long non-coding RNA (VCAR_LNC003474)". The record is from RNAcentral. Lineage: Eukaryota; Viridiplantae; Chlorophyta; Chlorophyceae; Chlamydomonadales; Volvocaceae.